GGCGUAAGGGCUCGCAGGCGGUUUCUUAAGUCUGAUGUGAAAGCCCCCGGCUCAACCGGGGAGGGUCAUUGGAAACUGGGGAACUUGAGUGCAGAAGAGGAGAGUGGAAUUCCACGUGUAGCGGUGAAAUGCGUAGAGAUGUGGAGGAACACCAGUGGCGAAGGCGACUCUCUGGUCUGUAACUGACGCUGAGGAGCGAAAGCGUGGGGAGCGAACAGGAUUAGAUACCCUGGUAGUCCACGCCGUAAACGAUGAGUGCUAAGUGUUAGGGGGUUUCCGCCCCUUAGUGCUGCAGCUAACGCAUUAAGCACUCCGCCUGGGGAGUACGGUCGCAAGACUGAAACUCAAAGGAAUUGACGGGGGCCCGCACAAGCGGUGGAGCAUGUGGUUUAAUUCGAAGCAACGCGAAGAACCUUACCAGGUCUUGACAUCCUCUGACAAUCCUAGAGAUAGGACGUCCCCUUCGGGGGCAGAGUGACAGGUGGUGCAUGGUUGUCGUCAGCUCGUGUCGUGAGAUGUUGGGUUAAGUCCCGCAACGAGCGCAACCCUUGAUCUUAGUUGCCAGCAUUCAGUUGGGCACUC
This 582-nucleotide ribosomal RNA is filed under the name Bacillus subtilis. RNAcentral describes it as "bacterial SSU rRNA". It matches the Rfam family "Bacterial small subunit ribosomal RNA", at positions 557 to 1140 of the family's 1533-position model. The record is from RNAcentral. Lineage: Bacteria; Bacillati; Bacillota; Bacilli; Caryophanales; Bacillaceae.